This 465-nucleotide ribosomal RNA is filed under the name uncultured bacterium. Its description in RNAcentral is "bacterial SSU rRNA". It matches the Rfam family "Bacterial small subunit ribosomal RNA", at positions 338 to 795 of the family's 1533-position model. The record is from RNAcentral.
CCUACGGGGGGCACCAGUGGGGAAUAUUGCACAAUGGGCGCAAGCCUGAUCCAGCCAUGCCGCGUGUAUGAAGAAGGCCUUCGGGUUGUAAAGUACUUUCAGCGGGGAGGAAGGUGUUGUGGUUAAUAACCGCAGCAAUUGACGUUACCCGCAGAAGAAGCACCGGCUAACUCCGUGCCAGCAGCCGCGGUAAUACGGAGGGUGCAAGCGUUAAUCGGAAUUACUGGGCGUAAAGCGCACGCAGGCGGUCUGUCAAGUCGGAUGUGAAAUCCCCGGGCUCAACCUGGGAACUGCAUUCGAAACUGGCAGGCUAGAGUCUUGUAGAGGGGGGUAGAAUUCCAGGUGUAGCGGUGAAAUGCGUAGAGAUCUGGAGGAAUACCGGUGGCGUAGGCGGCCCCCUGGACAAAGUCUGACGCUCAGGUGCGAAAGCGUGGGGAGCAAACAGGAUUAGAUACCCGUGUAGUC